Molecule: long non-coding RNA, 199 nt
Filed under: Vitis vinifera (wine grape)
Lineage: Eukaryota; Viridiplantae; Streptophyta; Magnoliopsida; Vitales; Vitaceae
Description: long non-coding RNA (VVIN_LNC004123)
Source: RNAcentral
GUGCCAUGGGACCAUAUACAUGGCUAUAGUGCUUGGCCUAGGAACUCUCGUCCAAGUAGGCAUGGGAAGCCCAGACCCCUUGGGGCUAGAUCAAUCUAUGAUCUGACGUCCUUCAGGUUUGAGAAAUAAGGAGGACAAAUGGAAGGUCACCACCUCAAUAUGAAGGAUCACAAUAUGGAGUCAUCAUGUCUAAGAUUAC